Molecule: ribosomal RNA, 129 nt
Filed under: uncultured Magnetospirillum sp.
Lineage: Bacteria; Pseudomonadati; Pseudomonadota; Alphaproteobacteria; Rhodospirillales; Rhodospirillaceae
Description: partial 16S ribosomal RNA
Rfam family: Bacterial small subunit ribosomal RNA
Source: RNAcentral
UACGGGAGGCAGCAGUGGGGAAUAUUGGACAAUGGGGGCAACCCUGAUCCAGCCAUGCCGCGUGAGUGAUGAAGGCCUUAGGGUUGUAAAGCUCUUUCGACGGGGACGAUGAUGACGGUACCCGUAGAA